UGAUAUAUUAUGUCAAGUAAUGUUUUUUUUUCUUAAUUUAGAAGUUAGAAUUUAAGAAUUUUAUGUUUUCUAGAGACGGGACACACGUUAGGUUACAUUCAUCUGUUUUAGAAAGAAAAAAAAAAUUAGCGGGGGUUGAUGAACCCUUAAUCAACCAUUGGGCCAAAGGACUUCCACAACUAUAUUUGUUUAUGUUUAUGUUUGAUUUUAUUUAAAAUCAGAUAUUUAAUUAAAGAUUUACAAAGAUGUUUUAAAUUAAAAAGACAUCUAGACGUUUAUAAAUAUACGAUACAUAGAAGUUGUAAAUAAU
Molecule: small RNA, 310 nt
Filed under: Arabidopsis thaliana (thale cress)
Lineage: Eukaryota; Viridiplantae; Streptophyta; Magnoliopsida; Brassicales; Brassicaceae
Description: ATSL254690
Source: RNAcentral